UUAACACAUGCAAGUCGAACGGGAAAUAUUCAUUGAGACUUCGGUGAAUUUGAUCUAUUUCUAGUGGCGGACGGGUGAGUAACGCGUGGGUAACCUGCCUUAUACAGGGGGAUAACAGUCAGAAAUGGCUGCUAAUACCGCAUAAGCGCACAGAGCUGCAUGGCUCAGUGUGAAAAACUCCGGUGGUAUAAGAUGGACCCGCGUUGGAUUAGCUAGUUGGUGAGGUAACGGCCUACCAAGGCGACGAUCCAUAGCCGGCCUGAGAGGGUGAACGGCCACAUUGGGACUGAGACACGGCCCAGACUCCUACGGGAGGCAGCAGUGGGGAAUAUUGCACAAUGGGGGAAACCCUGAUGCAGCGACGCCGCGUGAAGGAAGAAGUAUCUCGGAAUGUAAACUUCUAUCAGCAGGGAAGAUAGUGACGGUACCUGACUAAGAAGCCCCGGCUAACUACGUGCCAGCAGCCGCGGUAAUACGUAGGGGGCAAGCGUUAUCCGGAUUUACUGGGUGUAAAGGGAGCGUAGACGGUGUGGCAAGUCUGAUGUGAAAGGCAUGGGCUCAACCUGUGGACUGCAUUGGAAACUGUCAUACUUGAGUGCCGGAGGGGUAAGCGGAAUUCCUAGUGUAGCGGUGAAAUGCGUAGAUAUUAGGAGGAACACCAGUGGCGAAGGC
RNAcentral lists this ribosomal RNA (672 nucleotides) under uncultured Lachnospiraceae bacterium. RNAcentral describes it as "bacterial SSU rRNA". It matches the Rfam family "Bacterial small subunit ribosomal RNA", at positions 48 to 722 of the family's 1533-position model. Lineage: Bacteria; Bacillati; Bacillota; Clostridia; Lachnospirales; Lachnospiraceae. The record is from RNAcentral.